AGAGUUUGAUCAUGGCUCAGAUUGAACGCUGGCGGCAUGCUUUACACAUGCAAGUCGAACGGCAGCACAGGGAGCUUGCUCCCGGGUGGCGAGUGGCGCACGGGUGAGUAAUACAUCGGAACGUGUCCUGUUGUGGGGGAUAACUGCUCGAAAGGGUGGCUAAUACCGCAUGAGACCUGAGGGUGAAAGCGGGGGAUCGCAAGACCUCGCGCAAUUGGAGCGGCCGAUGCCCGAUUAGCUAGUUGGUGAGGUAAAGGCUCACCAAGGCGACGAUCGGUAGCUGGUCUCGAGAGGACGACCAGCCACACUGGGACUGAGACGACGCCCAGACUCCUACGGGAGGCA
This 345-nucleotide ribosomal RNA is filed under the name uncultured bacterium. RNAcentral's name for it is "bacterial SSU rRNA". It matches the Rfam family "Bacterial small subunit ribosomal RNA", at positions 8 to 350 of the family's 1533-position model. The record is from RNAcentral.